RNAcentral lists this transfer RNA (72 nucleotides) under Dallia pectoralis (Alaska blackfish). Its description in RNAcentral is "tRNA-iMet". It matches the Rfam family "tRNA". Rfam says of the family: Transfer RNA (tRNA) molecules are approximately 80 nucleotides in length. Their secondary structure includes four short double-helical elements and three loops (D, anti-codon, and T loops). The record is from RNAcentral. Lineage: Eukaryota; Metazoa; Chordata; Actinopteri; Esociformes; Umbridae.
AGCAGAGUGGCGCAGCGGAAGCGUGCUGGGCCCAUAACCCAAAGGUCGAUGGAGCGAAACCAUCCUCUGCUA